GCACCUACCGAUUGAAUGGUUCGGUGAAAAUCUCGGACUGCGGCUUGGAUGCCUUCGGGCAACCAAGCUGUGGAAAGUUGUUUAAACCUCAUCAUUUAGAGGAAGGUGAAGUCGUAACAAGGUUUCCGUAGGUGAACCUGCAGAAGGAUCCGCUCGGCCGAGCGUCGUGUACGGAAAGACUGUAGCUCUCGGUGGUCGCCCUCCCCUUCCCCCACCAACACCCCCCCCCCCCCCCCCCCCCCCCCCCCCCCACCCCCCCCCCCCCCCCCCCCCCCCC
Molecule: unclassified non-coding RNA, 277 nt
Filed under: sea anemone metagenome
Description: partial contains small subunit ribosomal RNA and internal transcribed spacer 1
Rfam family: Eukaryotic small subunit ribosomal RNA (bases 1-154)
Source: RNAcentral